This 64-nucleotide transfer RNA is filed under the name Succineidae gen. n. sp. z RM-2021. Its description in RNAcentral is "tRNA-His". The record is from RNAcentral. Lineage: Eukaryota; Metazoa; Mollusca; Gastropoda; Stylommatophora; Succineidae.
UUUUUUAUAAGAUAAAUUAAAAUCUGUGGGGUUGUGAUCCUCAAAAUCUUUUUAUAAAAGUAAA